CAUCGUCCGAAUUGCUUUGAUCAAGGAAGUGCUUGCUAUGAUAGAGAGGUGGAAGACAGAGAUGACGUUGUCCUUCAAGCAAGAUAGUGCCUCAUUUCAUAUUGUCCGAGGUGCAAUCCCAGAAUUCAAAAGAGAGUUUGACAAACAUAAAGUUGCACAUGUUGAUGAGGAAAUGCUGCGGAAUUUUGAAGACUUCAGAGUCACUUUUGAUCUCUGCUCAGAGAACUUUGGAGGAUCAAGACCCAUUUACUUAGUAUUGGUGCAAACCGCAGUUUCUAUCAUUUCUCUCUUGAUGAUUCUUAUUUGGUUUGUGAUGGAUAUUUUGACAUCUUCUCCAAAUGCUUGUGCUUCUUUUUGAUGGACUUGAUUUUCUUCCCAAUUUGAGACAUAUUCGGCUUCACAUAAUCAACUUAAAUCAUAACUUUGAUGAUAUAAAUUGAAAAGAGCCAAACACAAUUCAUGACUGAACCUAGAAAUUAUCUAAGCUGCCUACGUACCCUUUUGAAAGGGAUCAAGUCAAAACGUAGUUCAUAGGAUCAACAGGUGUUUGAGAUUGGGUGCCGUGCAUAGUUUAUACUCAUGCGGGCCAGGAGUAACAUGCAGUUUAGGCUCGUGCGUCAAGGAGCUGUCAUUCAUACGCUUCAUUUUGUUGUUUUUCUUCAUUUCUGGUUUCUCAUCUGACUCAUCUUUUCGGCUUUUCUGCUUUUCAUUUUUUUUUGCUUUUCUGCUUUUCUAUUUUUUUUUUCUGUUUUUCUAUUUUUUGGCUUUUUUUUUUUUAAAUAACUAUACACAUAUAUACAUGCUUCAACUUCUACCACCCUUCAAGGAUAGUAGUACUUCAAGAACUUUCCGUUGAGAGUGAUAACAAUUGGCCUCCUUGCAGCGAGGGCCAUGUCUCCAAUUUGAAAAGAGGGCGCUCGCACUGCUUUGUUGAAGGAUCUUGAAGGAAGAGCUUGAUAGUAUUCCAAUUUUUGCUGGACUUCUAGUCUCUCUUCAUCCAGAGUUUCCAGUUCUUUGGGGCUCAAGUGCGAAUUCUCUUCUCCAACGACCAUUUUCUCGCAGGAGGUGAUAUGGUUUGCUGUGACAACGUCUUCAUCUUUUCGGCGAGGAUCUUUGCAAUCAAAACACGUCUUUAUGCUUUCAUUUCUCUGGCGUAUGAAGGCUAUAUUCUCUGCAACGCUUGUUGUGAUAACGCCACUUCUAACGAGACUUGCAAUUUCACGGCGCACUUGACUUUGAG
This 1240-nucleotide long non-coding RNA is filed under the name Salvia miltiorrhiza (redroot sage). RNAcentral describes it as "long non-coding RNA (SMIL_LNC011764)". Lineage: Eukaryota; Viridiplantae; Streptophyta; Magnoliopsida; Lamiales; Lamiaceae. The record is from RNAcentral.